GUUCUUAAAAUUAAAGAGGGGUUAAAACAAAUUGUAUUGUGUGUAAAUCUGUAGUCGAUUGGUUAGUACACACUAAAGCUUUGAAGAUAAUGAAAGUUAUCUAUUUGAUACACAUUAAGAUUGUGCCAGCGGUGGCGGUUAUACAGUCUGUGGGUUUUAGCUUGGUGGUUUUAGUGGUAACAUUUUAGUUAAGAGGUGAAAUUUGUAAAUUAAAAUUAAAAACUUGAAAUUUAGUUUCUAAAAACAGGAUUAGAUACCCUGGUAUGGCUAAUAAAUUUACUACAGGGGGUCAAAUUUAACAAAUAUGGCGGUCAAAUUUUAAUAGGGGGGCCUAAGAUAAAGAUAGCAAACUAGGUAUUGAAUUGACUUAUUUCUUCUUGUGUGAUCGCCCAAGUCUGGUAUGGUUUGGGGUAGAUAAACAUAGGGGGUGGUUGAUUUUCUUGGGGUUUUGUUUUGUAUACUUGAAUAGAUAAAUCAAUAAACUUAUUAGUAAAUUUAGAACAGUGAAAUAAAAUUUUUGGAGUACAUAUCGCCCGUCAGCGCCUAAAGGGUGUAAGUCGUAACAUAGUGGGUUCAUUGGAAGAUUAACCU
Molecule: ribosomal RNA, 591 nt
Filed under: Acanthogyrus cheni
Lineage: Eukaryota; Metazoa; Acanthocephala; Eoacanthocephala; Gyracanthocephala; Quadrigyridae
Description: small subunit ribosomal RNA
Source: RNAcentral